GCGUAGGAAUCUACCUGGUAGUGGGGGACAACAUGGGGAAACCCAUGCUAAUACCGCAUACGCCCUACGGGGAAAGCGGGGGACCUUCGGGCCUCGCGCUAUCAGAUGAGCCUGCGUUGGAUUAGCUUGUUGGUGAGGUAAAAGCUCACCAAGGCGACGAUCCAUAGCUGGUCUGAGAGGAUGAUCAGCCACACUGGGACUGAGACACGGCCCAGACUCCUACGGGAGGCAGCAGUGGGGAAUAUUGCACAAUGGGCGCAAGCCUGAUGCAGCCAUGCCGCGUGUGUGAAGAAGGCUUUC
Molecule: ribosomal RNA, 300 nt
Filed under: uncultured Alteromonadales bacterium
Lineage: Bacteria; Pseudomonadati; Pseudomonadota; Gammaproteobacteria; Alteromonadales
Description: bacterial SSU rRNA
Rfam family: Bacterial small subunit ribosomal RNA
Source: RNAcentral